Molecule: long non-coding RNA, 1698 nt
Organism: Brassica napus (rape)
Lineage: Eukaryota; Viridiplantae; Streptophyta; Magnoliopsida; Brassicales; Brassicaceae
Exons: 4
Source: RefSeq, a predicted model, not a curated record
ACGUACAUCUAAAGAAAGUAAAUGAUUUUGAUCUCAAAUUUCUUUGUUAACUUUUAUUAAUGGUUGUUAUCUAAACUAAAUGAUUACUCUUGCCUUGAUGUCAAUUAAGGUUUUUUACACAUAUUAAAAAUUAAAUGUUUAAACACCAAAAUCUAAGAAAAACUUGACUUAAAAUUAAGAGAUAAAAAUCCGGUAAUUAAAAUUGAAAAUCAUAUGGCUAGAACCGUUGUUGCAGCACUGCAUCAUAUCCACAACUACCUACCGGAAGACUGAGUUCUGAAGUCAUACGUGUGCAAACAUCAUAUCUUCCAAGUUCCAAUGAAGAAUGUUGGGAUUGCGAAAUCCCAUGUCCAACUCUAUCUUAUCUUAUUAGUACGAUAUUGUCCACUUUGGGCCUAAUUUGCUGGUCCGCAUGGUUUUACUUUUGGUUUCCUUCCCAAAAGGCCUCGUACUAUUAGAGUUGAACAUCUCUUUAUAUAUUAGACACUCCUUGUCUAAUUAUCCAAUGUGGGACUUGGUUUGUUAUCUCACAUUCUCCCCUUCAAACUAAGGAUCACAUUCAUCUCGUGUCCCACAACUGACUUCCAGGAUCUUCUGACUUGAUUUCUGCCACACAUCUCUCAUUCCUAACUCAUAGGAUACCAUUCAUCUCUCGAAGGGUAUUUCGGUCUUCUUGCAGAUUUCUCGUCAACCGCUCUGAUACCAAUUGUUGGGAUUGCGAAAUCCCAUGUCCAACUCUAUCUUAUCUUAUUAGUACGAUAUUGUCCACUUUGGGCCUAAUUUGCUGGCCCGCAUGGUUUUACUUUUGAUUUCCUUCCCAAAAGGCCUCGUACUAUUAGAGCAACAUUAUCGGGGUAUGAUAGAGGAAGUCGUUAGGCUUUAUAUGAUUUUAUUUAAAUAAAAAUUGUAUAAUUUCGCUGGGACGGACGCGGUUUGUCGUUGGCUAACAUAUUUUUUUUUUGUCCUUAGGUGAUAGGUGUCGGCAAGGGAAUGGUGGAAGCGUUUUGGUUUGAGAAAUGAUUCACGUGUUGCCCUUUGGGCCUUGUCUCUUUGAGAAGAGAGAGAGAGAGAGUUGAAGAUCGAUGGCGGAAGGCGCGAUGAUCCCCAGCAACUGAAGAAGGGAAGCCAUAGCUUCAGGCAGAGGCUACUUCUCUGGACCCUUUCUUCGACGCCUAUCAUCAGGCAGAGGCUGAAUCCUAGCCUCCAACAUCACGAGAUGUCUCUCCUCCGCCUCUUCGAGACUGUCUCCGAUGACUGCGUCACACUUGCCCUCAUCCAGAUUAAAUUGACUGAUGUUACUGAUCCCAUGGUCAAUGAGAAGGUUGCUGAUCGGGUAGGAGAGGAUUUAGAAGGAGUUACCCACAAAGUUUACUUUGAUAUUCAGAUCAAUGGUUCACCUGAAUGAGUUACCCACAAAGUUUACUUUGUCCCCUCUUCUUCAUUGGGCGUAGAGGGAAAGAUUGUGGUUGAGCUGAUUUUGCUGGGCAAAUCUGGAUGCAGGGGCAAACAUUAUCUGAUUUUUUCUUAAUUGUUCUGAUCUUUUUUUUUUGGUUUCGGGUAUGUGGAUUUGAUUUUGUGAUCGUUGUUCUGAUUGUGCAAGGAGGAGUCUCUUGCACGUAGAACAUAGAAACUACCUUUUUAUAUAGUUUGUAAUCAAAGAUUUACUCUACUUAUUUCUGCUUCACGUUUCAUUGUUGA